AUACGGAGGGUGCGAGCGUUAAUCGGAAUUACUGGGCGUAAAGCGUGCGUAGGUGGCUUGGUAAGUCGGAUGUGAAAGCCCUGGGCUCAACCUGGGAACUGCAUUCGAUACUGCCUGGCUAGAGUAUAGUAGAGGGAAGUGGAAUUCCGGGUGUAGCGGUGAAAUGCGUAGAUAUCCGGAGGAACACCAGUGGCGAAGGCGGCUUCCUGGACUAAUACUGACACUGAGGUACGAAAGCGUGGGGAGCAAACAGGAUUAGAUACCCGGGUAGUCC
Molecule: ribosomal RNA, 274 nt
Filed under: uncultured bacterium
Lineage: Bacteria
Description: partial 16S ribosomal RNA
Rfam family: Bacterial small subunit ribosomal RNA
Source: RNAcentral